GUGCUCACUUUGGCAGCAAAUAUACUAAAAUUGGAACUAUUCAGAGAACAUUAGCAUGGCCCCUGUGUUAGGAUGAUAUGCAAAUUUAUGAAGUGUUCCAUAUUUAA
Suncus etruscus (white-toothed pygmy shrew) is the source of this 107-nucleotide small nuclear RNA. NCBI's taxonomy places the organism in Eukaryota, Metazoa, Chordata, Mammalia, Eulipotyphla, Soricidae. The record is from RefSeq and is a predicted model, not a curated record.